Molecule: long non-coding RNA, 475 nt
Organism: Cervus elaphus (red deer)
Lineage: Eukaryota; Metazoa; Chordata; Mammalia; Artiodactyla; Cervidae
Exons: 4
Source: RefSeq, a predicted model, not a curated record
UCUAAAAUAUUUUCAUAAAGAAAGGAGGAAGAGAGAUUUCAGGCAUUUUGAAGAAGACGCUGGAGCCAGUGAAUGUUGGAUGAGGAACCCAUCUCAGAACCAUAUGGGAUGCUGAGGAACUCAGAAAAUCAGGGCAGCGAUCAGCAGUGUACUCUAAUUCUUGACCAAGAGAUUUACUUGGAAAAUGAGAAAUUCCUGGACUACACUACUUGCCUAAAGCUUCUUCUGGUUGGAGUCAGUCCUUAAGGCUCUAAGAUUAAAGUACCAUGAGCUUAGAAACUCUGCAAGCUAUAACAUCUGCCCCAAGACUCAUCCUGAAGCAACUGCUCUUCUUGGAGCUUGAGCCUGCUGCUGGCUUCUGGACUUGAACUUCCAUUGGCUCUCCCAGUCCUCAGGCCUUUGGACGCAGAAUCUGGGGUCUCCAGCUUGCCAAUCACAGAUCGCUGGGUGUCUCAGCCUCCAUAAUUACCUGAGC